AUGAAGCUGGAAUCGCUAGUAAUCGCGAAUCAGAAUGUCGCGGUGAAUACGUUCCCGGGUCUUGUACACACCGCCCGUCACACCAUGGGAGUCGGAAAUGCCCGAAGUCAGUGACCCAACCGUAAGGAGGGAGCUGCCGAAGGUGGAGCCGGUAACUGGGGUGAAGUCGUAACAAGGUAGC
RNAcentral lists this ribosomal RNA (181 nucleotides) under uncultured bacterium. RNAcentral describes it as "partial 16S ribosomal RNA". It matches the Rfam family "Bacterial small subunit ribosomal RNA", at positions 1320 to 1500 of the family's 1533-position model. The record is from RNAcentral.